ACAUGUAUUAUUAGUUAGGUGCAAAAGUAAUUGUGGUUUUUGCCAACAAAAGUAGCAAAAACCACAAUUACUUUUGCAGCAACCUAAUA
Molecule: microRNA precursor, 89 nt
Filed under: Chlorocebus sabaeus (green monkey)
Lineage: Eukaryota; Metazoa; Chordata; Mammalia; Primates; Cercopithecidae
Description: miRNA (ENSCSAG00000022295.1)
Source: RNAcentral